RNAcentral lists this unclassified non-coding RNA (412 nucleotides) under soil metagenome. Its description in RNAcentral is "partial contains 5.8S ribosomal RNA, internal transcribed spacer 2, and large subunit ribosomal RNA". The stretch from base 1 to 120 matches the Rfam family "5.8S ribosomal RNA", at positions 35 to 154 of the family's 154-position model. The record is from RNAcentral.
GAUGAAGAACGCAGCGAAAUGCGAUACGUAGUGUGAAUUGCAGAAUUCCGUGAACCAUCAAAUCUUUGAACGCAUAUUGCGCUCGAGGCUUCGGCCGAGAGCAUGUCUGCCUCAGCGUCGGUAUUACCCCUCGCUUCUCAACCCCUGGUUGAUGCCUGCCUGCCUUUGCAGUUGGCUAGAAGCGGAUCUGGUUUUCCCAAUUGCCUUUGGUAGUUGGGUCAGCUGAAGCACAGAGGCUUGAGCAAGGACCCUUAUUGGGCUUCAACUGGAUAGGUAGAACUGGUCUUAGGACCAACUACACGAAGUUGUUGCUUGUGGUCUUUGUCUGGAGGCCAGCAGGAAACCUUUAUACCUUCGACCUGAGCUCAGGCAAGAUUACCCGCUGAACUUAAGCAUAUCAAUAAGCGGAGGA